This 70-nucleotide transfer RNA is filed under the name Fukomys damarensis (Damara mole-rat). It matches the Rfam family "tRNA". From Rfam's summary of the family: Transfer RNA (tRNA) molecules are approximately 80 nucleotides in length. Their secondary structure includes four short double-helical elements and three loops (D, anti-codon, and T loops). The record is from Rfam by way of RNAcentral. Lineage: Eukaryota; Metazoa; Chordata; Mammalia; Rodentia; Bathyergidae.
GGAGGUAACUUUGUGGUAUAGUACAUACCUAACAUGCAUGAGGCCCUGGGUUUAAUCCCCAGCACUGCCA